ACGGCUCAGUAACACGUGGAUAACAUGCCCUAAGGUGGGGGAUAAUCUCGGGAAACUGAGGAUAAUACCCCAUAGAUCUAGAGCGCUGGAAUGCCUUUAGGUCGAAAACUCCGGCGCCUUAGGAUUGGUCUGCGGUCUAUCAGGCAGUAGUGGGUGUAAUGGACCCACUAGCCCGUGACGGAUAUGGGCCCUGAGAGAGGGUGCCCAGAGAUGGACUCUGAGACAUGAGUCCAGGCCCUACGGGGCGCAGCAGUCGCGAAAACUUCGCAAUGGGGGAAACCCCGACGAGGGAAUUCCAAGUGCUAGCACUUUGUGUUAGCUGUUCUUCUGUCUAAAAAACAGGAGAAGUAAGGGGCGGGUAAGACGGGUGCCAGCCGCCGCGGUAAUACCCGCGCCCCGAGUGGUGGUCGAUAUUAUUGAGCCUAAAACGUUCGUAGCCGGUCUUCUAAAUCCUUGGGUAAAUCGGGCAGCUUAACUGUCCGAAUUCCGGGGAGACUGGGAGACUUGGGACCGGGAGAGGUCAGAGGUACUUCUGGGGUAGGGGUAAAAUCCUGUAAUCCUGGAAGGACCACCGGUGGCGAAGGCGUCUGACUAGAACGGAUCCGACGGUGAGGAACGAAGCCCUGGGGCGCAAACGGGAUUAGAUACCCCGGUAGUCCAGGGUGUAAACGCUGCGGGCUUGGUGUUGGGGGGUCCUUAGUGGGCGCCCAGUGCCGGAGAGAAAGUUGUUAAGCCUGCUGCUUGGGGAGUAUGUCCGC
RNAcentral lists this ribosomal RNA (758 nucleotides) under uncultured archaeon. RNAcentral's name for it is "bacterial SSU rRNA". It matches the Rfam family "Archaeal small subunit ribosomal RNA", at positions 85 to 844 of the family's 1478-position model. The record is from RNAcentral.